CUUCUAAGCUGAAGUUGAUAAUUAAAUUGACUCUUGCCUGCGCUGCUGAAAUAUUGCGUGCGCGGCGAGGUUGGUUUGGUUGCAAUUUCAUUCAAGGCUUAGAAAUCUCCUUACACACUUUGUUUUCUUAUUAGAGACAAUUUUGCUUUGGUUGAAAGCCGUGUAAAAGCGGCAUAUUCGGCCAGGGGUUUAAACAAAACACAUUUCGUUUUCCCUCGUGGAAGAUUGAAAAUUUGAUCUUGAAUUUUUGUCAGCUUUAAAAGGUUUGCGUAGCAGGCCUUUCUAAACUUUAAAACUUUCAACAACGGAUCUCUUGGUUCUCGCAUCGAUGAAGAACGCAGCGAAAUGCGAUAAGUAAUGUGAAUUGCAGAUUUUCGUGAAUCAUUGAAUCUUUGAACGCACAUUGCGCCCUCUGGUAUUCCAGAGGGCAUGCCUGUUUGAGCGUCAUUUCCCUCUCAAACCCUUGGGUUUGGUGAUGGGCAAUACUCUCGUAAGAGAGUUUGCUUGAAAUGUAUUGGCAUGAGUUUUUGAUAUGAACUUUAGCUGUUUAUUCAAUGUAUUAGGUUUAAUCCAUCGUUGAUUGACAAUUGAAGCUUCUUUCAAAAUUUGGCUCUGCCUAACAAACUUUAUCAUAAAGUUUGACCUCAAAUCAGGUAGGAUUACCCGCUGAACUUAAGCAUAUCAAU
RNAcentral lists this ribosomal RNA (686 nucleotides) under Ogataea sp. 11-486. Its description in RNAcentral is "eukaryotic LSU rRNA". The stretch from base 294 to 447 matches the Rfam family "5.8S ribosomal RNA". Lineage: Eukaryota; Fungi; Ascomycota; Pichiomycetes; Pichiales; Pichiaceae. The record is from RNAcentral.